CAUUAUUCCUAACAGCCAAAAAGUGGAGACAACCUUGGAUUCUACUAUCAGAUGAAUGGAUAAACAAAAUGUGGUAUAUACAGACAAUGGAAUAUUUGGCCAUACAAAGGAAUGAAGUACUGAAAUGUGCUGCAACAUGGAUAAAUCCUGAAAACAGUAGGGCUGUCCUUGUUUAUCCCCUCCCAGUAGCAGUCAUCCAGAGACCAUCAGGGAGCAGAGCUGAACUGGACAAUGGCAGGGUUCUGAGCACACAGAGCCCCUCUAGGUAAGGUAACAAGCUCCCCAUGACACUGAGAUGACUCUAUCCAAGUGUAUCCAAAAUGAUAGUGGAUAUCAAAACCAACACCAAAGAAAUACAAACAAUUAUAAGAACAUAUUAUGAGCAACUAUACGCCAGCAAAUUUGACAAUCUGGAAGAAAGGGAUGCACUCCUAGAGAUGUAAAAACUACCAAAACUGAACCAGGAAGACAUAGAAAACCUGAACAGACCCAUAACCAGUAAGGAGAUUGAAGCAGUCAUCAAAAAUCUCCCAACAAACAAGAGCCCAAGACCAGAUGGCUUCCCAGGGGAAUUCAACCAAACAUUUAAAGAAGAAUUAAUACCUAUUCUUCUGAAACUGUUCCAAAAAAUAGAAAUGGAAGGAAAACUUCCAAACUCAUUUUAUGAGGCCAGCAUUACCUUGAUCCCAAAACUAGACAAACACCCAACAAAUAGGAGAAUUACAGACCAAUAUCCUUGAUGAGCACAGAUGCAAAAAUUCUCACCAAAAUACUAACCAAUAGGAUCCAACAGUACAUUAAAAGGAUUAUUCACCACGACCAAGUGGGAUUUAUUCCAGGGCUGCAAGGUUGGUUCAACAUCCGCAAAUCAGUCAAUGUGAUACAACACAUCAAUAAAAGUAAGAACAAGAACUAUAUGAUACUCUCAAUAGAUGCUGAAAAAGCAUUUGACAAAGUACAGCAUCCUUUCUUGAUCAAAACUCUUAAAAAUGUAGGGAUAGAGGGUACAUACCUCAAUAUCAUCAAAACCAGCUGUGAAAAACCCACAGUGAAUAUCAUUCUCAUUGGGCAAAAACUGAGAGCUUUUCCUCUAGGGUCAGGAACAUGGCAGGGAUGUCCAAUAUCACCACUGCUAUUCAACAUAGUACUAGAAGUCCUAGCCUCAGCAAUCAGACAACAAAAAGAAAUAAAAUGCAUUUGAAUUGGCAAAGAAGAAGUCAAAUUCUCCCUCUUUGCAAAUGAUAUGAUACUUUAUGUGGAAAACCCAAAAGACUCCACUCCAAAACUGCUAGAAGUCAUACAGGAAUUCAGUAAAGUGUCAGGAUAUAAAAUCAAUGCACAGCAAUAUGUUGCAUUUCUAUACACCAGCAGCAAGAUAGAAGAAAGAGAAAUUAAGGAGUCAAUGCCAUUUACUAUUGCACCCAAAACCAUAAGAUACCUAGGAAUAAACCUAACCAAAGAGACAAAGAAUAUGUAUUCAGAAAACUAUAAAGUACUCAUGAAAGAAAUUGAGGAUGACACAAAGAAAUGGAAAAAUGUUCAACGCUCAUGGAUUAAAAGAACAAAUAUUAUGAAAAUGUCUAUGCUAACUAAAGCAAUCUAUACAUUUAAUGAAAUCCCUAUCAAAAUACCAUCAAUUUUUUAAAGAAGUGGAACAAAUAAUCCUAAAAUUGGUAUGGAACCAGAAAAGACCCCAAAUAGCCAGAGAAAUGGUUGAAAAAGAAAACCAAAGUUGGUAGCACCAUAAUUCCAGACUUCAAGCUCUAUUACAAAGCUGUAAUCAUCAAGACAGUAUGGCAUUGGCACAAAAACAGACACAUAGAUGGAUGGAACAGAACAGAGUGCCCAGGAAUGGAACUUCAACUCUAUGGUCAACUGAUCUUCAAUAAAGCAGGAAAGAAUGUCCAAUGGGAAAAAGACAAGUCUCUUCAACAAAUGGUAUUGGGAAAAUUGGACAGCCACAUGCAAAAGAAGGAAUAUGGACCAUUUCCUUACACCACACACAAAAAUAGACUCAAAAUGGAUGAAAGACCUCAAUGUGAGAAAGGAAUCCAUCAAAAUCCUUGAGGAGAACAUAGGCAGCAACCUCUUCGACGUCAGCUGCAGCAAGUUCUUCCUAGAAACAUCAUCAAAGGCAAGGGAAGCAAGGGCACAAAUGAACUAUUGGGACUUCAUCAAGAUCAAAAGCUUUUGCACAGCAAAGGAAGCAGUCAGCAAAAUCAACUAACAAAAUGGGAGAAGAUAUUCACAAUUGACAUAUUAGAUAAAGGGCCAGUGCCAAAAUUUAUAAAGAAAUUAUCAAACUCAACACCCAAGGAACAAAUAAUCCAAUCAAGAAAUGGGAAGAGGGUGUACCUGGGUGGCUCAGUGGGUUAAGCCUCUGCCUUUGGCUCAGGUCAUUAUCUCAGGAUCCUGGGACUGAGCCCUGCAUCAGUCUCUCUGCUCUCAGCAGGGAGUGUACUUCCCCCCCCCCCCCUCUGCCUGCCUCUCUGCCUACUUGUGAUCUCUCUCUCUCUCUC
This is a long non-coding RNA of Mustela lutreola (European mink), 2519 nucleotides long. RefSeq lists it as uncharacterized. Lineage: Eukaryota; Metazoa; Chordata; Mammalia; Carnivora; Mustelidae. The record is from RefSeq and is a predicted model, not a curated record. The transcript has 3 exons.